Molecule: unclassified non-coding RNA, 444 nt
Filed under: Hevea brasiliensis (rubber tree)
Lineage: Eukaryota; Viridiplantae; Streptophyta; Magnoliopsida; Malpighiales; Euphorbiaceae
Source: RNAcentral
AAAGGGCAAAGAUCUUGACGUUCAAAUUCAAUUCAGUAAUAUUCGAGCAUUACAGCAUUCUAGGCAGUAGGGACUACCUUCAAUUCAACAACCAAAAUGCCGAGGUGAGGUCGCACAAUGCAUCCCCUCCAAAGGAUUUCAAAUUAACAUCACAUACAAAUAAAAUAAACCCAGCCAACUCAACAAGCACCCUCAACUUGCAAAGAUUUUUUUUUUUUUUUUUAUCAAAGCUCAACUUACAAAGAUGACUUGUAUUGUAUCCCACUACGAAGAAACUAACAUCGUCCUACUCAUGUGUAGUGUAUAACCUGGCUAACUACCAUACAGAGGAACUCGGCUUCAGAAACGGAGGCUACCUAUAGAUAACCACCCACUCACCUUUAACUGUACAAAAGGAAAUUUAUUUUCUAUAUGUAUAUCAUUCAGCAUUCUUUGCAGUUUCGG